GAUGAACGCUAGCGGCAGGCCUAAUACAUGCAAGACGAACGGUAAGCUUUGUAGCAAUACGGAGCCUAGAGUGUCGCAAGGGUGCGUAACACGUAUGCAAUCUACCCUGUACAGGAGUAUAGCUCCCCGAAAGGGGAAUUAACCCUCCAUAAUAUGAUGAACCGGCAUCGGUUUAUUAUUAAAACUGAGGUGGUACAGGAUGAGCAUGCGUCUGAUUAGCUAGUUGGUAGUGUAAUGGACUACCAAGGCAAUGAUCAGUAGGGGAACUGAGAGGUUGAUCCCCCACACUGGCACUGAGAUACGGGCCAGACUCCUACGGGAGGCAGCAGUAGGGAAUAUUGGACAAUGGGUGAGAGCCUGAUCCAGCCAUGCCGCGUGCAGGGAAGAAGGCCCUUCUGGGUUGUAAACUGCUUUAUCUGGGGAGUAAAAAAGGACCUUCGCGAGGCAAACUGAAGGUACCAGAUGAAUAAGCCACGGCUAACUACGUGCCAG
This 492-nucleotide ribosomal RNA is filed under the name uncultured bacterium. RNAcentral describes it as "bacterial SSU rRNA". It matches the Rfam family "Bacterial small subunit ribosomal RNA", at positions 28 to 511 of the family's 1533-position model. The record is from RNAcentral.